Dermacentor albipictus is the source of this 1327-nucleotide long non-coding RNA. RefSeq lists it as uncharacterized. The record is from RefSeq and is a predicted model, not a curated record. Lineage: Eukaryota; Metazoa; Arthropoda; Arachnida; Ixodida; Ixodidae.
GAGGGGGGGGGGGGCGUGCGCCCAGUUGUAAGCAACCCCGACACAUCGAAGUGUAGUUACGUUCGUCUUAGAGCAAUGUCAAGUCAUCGAGAUUGAUUAAUUCGUGGUGUUUAACAAUCCAACACGGCACUAUAUAGGGCUAUGAUCGACGUCGUGUAGCCGGUGACAACGGGCAUCGUGUAGAUGCGCCAUCGAAUUACGUUCGCCCGUUUCCGUGACGUCACGGAAAUGAUGCGUCUUGAUUGAAUGAGAAGAACGUUGCCUCUCGGGAACUACGUUUUGUAGCGGAGUACAAGUGCGCUGCGGCUUUGUUGGUUGAGCUUGCGCGGAAUUCUAGGCUUGUCGUCCGAGUUUACUGGAGGGCUACGCAUUUGUUUGACUACAUCGAGGUUCUUUGACGUGCACACUCGUCGAUGUAUGCGUGAGCGUUCUUGCGCCUCGCCUCCUUCGAAAUGCGGCCGUCGUUGCCGAGAAUCGGACCCGCGACCUCGUGCUCUUCAGCAGAACGCCACAGACACCGAGUGAGCCACUGCGGCGGUGAGUUCAUCAAGGUUCCGGAGUUCUUACCAGCUUCGCGGUCCUCUUGCGGAGGUAGCCCUCCAUCUUGGGAGGCCCCGAAUGGGACUUGCGGAACUGGACCCGGGCGCGGAAGCUCUCAGACUCUUCUCGGCUCCUCAUCUGGACUCCACUGCCCGGCUCGCUCGCCGCCAUAUUGGUGGGCGGUGGCGACUACGCGCCACACUCUCCUUCCGCAUUCUCCUCCCGUCUUGGACGACAGCCUUGCUACUAACGACGUGCUUCCAACUCACAAAAAUUUUGAAGCAUCCGGCUGCAAGUUUCGGUCGCGGAAACCGAGCCUCGACUCGGGCUCUCUGGUGCCCCUGGGAGACCGAUGUCGGGAUCGAAGGCGACGACGUUGACGGGCACGCUGCAAAUUAGGUGUCGGCGGCGCCUGGAUACAACGCAAGACGACGCCGCAGCUCCGGAAGUGGCACGACUCCCAAGGUCGAGCACGUCUUGCAGGUGCGGUGUGGAGGAAAUGACGAGGGCGCAGUCUCGCCGCAACCACGUCGCGGGGCUUCGCCAGUGUUAAAAACCAGACGCCGCCGUGGAAGCCUGGAUGAGGGGGCGCCUUUCAAGGCGUUCGACCGGCUUCGACCGAACGCCGAGGCAAAGCCGACUGCCGCGGUGGAGUGUCGGCUGGGAGACGAGGCGCAUUCGGCCGAAAACGCUUUCGUACGAGUGUGCCGUUAUCGCGGACGUAUUUUUAUUGGCAUUUAUAAAUGAACUUACUACCGGUGCAGUAAUAAAUGCAUUGAAUUCGUGA